This is a long non-coding RNA of Drosophila teissieri, 466 nucleotides long. RefSeq lists it as uncharacterized. NCBI's taxonomy places the organism in Eukaryota, Metazoa, Arthropoda, Insecta, Diptera, Drosophilidae. The record is from RefSeq and is a predicted model, not a curated record. The transcript is spliced from 2 exons.
AGCAAGGCAUAAGAUCUGUCAUAGUUUAGUAAGAAAGAUAAAAAGAAACAUAAAAAUUCCCGAAGUUUUCUUACUUCCAGCAUUUUAGUCAUUUUUCUUUAGGAUUCUUUAGUAAAACUUCGUGCUUGGAAAAACAAAGGCUGUGAAUAAUCUAAACGCGCUGAUAACUGCCAAUGUUUUAUGGCAUAAAGACUCGACUUUGUUUUGUGAAAAGCGGAAAUGCGGUAAUACGAGUAUUUGAGGGAGAACUUGACAUCACAUUUAUUUUUCCUUGAGCUUCAUCAUGGCUGACCCAGCAGAUUCUGCGGCCAGUGGAGAGACGCCAAAGAAAGCUAAGACCCAGCAGCUGGAAGGAGUGUCAACAAAGGCUGAAGACGUCGAAUUGAAAUGCCUUAACUCAAGUCACUGUGCUAGUCUCUUCUAAAAUUUGUAUUUUAACGAAAAUAAAAAGGAAAUACGAAAAUAA